This 253-nucleotide ribosomal RNA is filed under the name uncultured bacterium. Its description in RNAcentral is "partial 16S ribosomal RNA". It matches the Rfam family "Bacterial small subunit ribosomal RNA", at positions 524 to 776 of the family's 1533-position model. The record is from RNAcentral.
UACGUAGGUGGCAAGCGUUAUCCGGAAUUAUUGGGCGUAAAGCGCGCGUAGGCGGGCUUUUAAGUCUGAUGUGAAAGCCCCCGGCUCAACCGGGGAGGGUCAUUGGAAACUAGGAGACUUGAGUGCAGAAGAGGAGAGUGGAAUUCCAUUUGUAGCGGUGAAAUGCGCAGAGAUAUGAAGGAACACCAGUGGCGAAGGCGGCUCUCUGGUCUGUAACUGACGCUGAUGUGCGAAAGCGUGGGGAUCAAACAGG